Molecule: ribosomal RNA, 620 nt
Filed under: uncultured beta proteobacterium
Lineage: Bacteria; Pseudomonadati; Pseudomonadota; Betaproteobacteria
Description: bacterial SSU rRNA
Rfam family: Bacterial small subunit ribosomal RNA
Source: RNAcentral
CAAGUCGAACGGCAGCACGGGGGCAACCCUGGUGGCGAGUGGCGAACGGGUGAGUAAUGCAUCGGAACGUGUCCUCUUGUGGGGGAUAACCAGUCGAAACAUUGGCUAAUACCGCAUGAGAUCGAAAGAUGAAAGCGGGGGACCGCAAGGCCUCGCGCGAGAGGAGCGGCCGAUGCCGGAUUAGCUAGUUGGUGGGUAAAGGCCCACCAAGGCGACGAUCCGUAGCUGGUCUGAGAGGACGACCAGCCACACUGGGACUGAGACACGGCCCAGACUCCUACGGGAGGCAGCAGUGGGGAAUUUUGGACAAUGGGCGCAAGCCUGAUCCAGCCAUGCCGCGUGUGUGAAGAAGGCCUUCGGGUUGUAAAGCACUUUCGGACGGAACGAAAUCGCGCGCAUGAACAAUGCGCGUGGAUGACGGUACCGUAAGAAGAAGCACCGGCUAACUACGUGCCAGCAGCCGCGGUAAUACGUAGGGUGCAAGCGUUAAUCGGAAUUACUGGGCGUAAAGGGUGCGCAGGCGGCCCCGCAUGUCAGGCGUGAAAUCCCCGGGCUCAACCUGGGAAUGGCGUCUGAAACUACGGGGCUGGAGUGUGGCAGAGGGAGGUGGAAUUCCACGU